Poecilia latipinna (sailfin molly) is the source of this 1305-nucleotide long non-coding RNA. RefSeq lists it as uncharacterized. NCBI's taxonomy places the organism in Eukaryota, Metazoa, Chordata, Actinopteri, Cyprinodontiformes, Poeciliidae. The transcript has 2 exons. The record is from RefSeq and is a predicted model, not a curated record.
UUCGUGUGAGUGCUCUUUCCUCUAACAGGAUCUUUGUGAGAGAGCUGGGCAGCCCAGCACACCUGCAGCUGAUGCUGUCAGUCAGCAGACAAAUAGCUGUAGAGCAGUUACUUUUUGCUUGAUGGCCCCACAUUAUGGGUUAGAGUCAAGCCUCAGGUUUAUUUUAUCACAAUUAUGUUCCAAGUUGAAUCCUGUGGAAGGAUUUUUCAUGGUUGGAUUUAUCCGUCCUUAUCUUUCUCUGCUAAGGUCAGACUCUCUCUUGCUUUGCAAACAGGCAUUGGCCUCAACCUCACCAUAGAUUCAGCUACAAGGAUCCCCACAAUUGCUCCAAGUCAAGUUUGGAGCAAUUGCCUUUCCUCUCUCCCCAUCAUUCCUCCACAGACACACCAGGAUCCACGCUCCCCCCCUCCGGUUCUUCCCUCACCUCAAAACAAAACCUGUGUUCAUACCUCCCCCUGAACUACUUCAACCUCAUUUAUUGCAAAUAAAUCACAAUGAACUGUUUCCUCUGUCCUGUCUGCAUGUGGGGCAGGGAGUUGUCUCAAAACAUGGACAGCAGUAACAAUGCAGCCAUAUUCAACAAACUAAAUGCAUUCAUGAUGAAACUCAUUGUCAGAUUAUAAGUACAUAUUGAAAAUAACCUUUACUUGGGUAUUGGCCACUUUCCGUAGGCUCACAUUUCUGUUUGAAACUGUUUUUCAUUGGUCUGAUGUAAUAUUUUAAUCUUAAAUGUCAUGUUUUUACUAGCUGUCAGCUGAAAAUCAUUAAAAGGAGAGGCUUGAAAACCUCUGUCAUUAUAAUGGUAUAAUGUAUUGCAAGAAAUGAACUUUUCAUUAAUAUUCUAAUUGCCUGUUUUGUGUUAGACUGUUUGUCAUCCACUUAUCUGUGUUUUUGUGGACCAAGUAUAUUAGAUUUUCUUUUUUUUAGAAUCUAGAUCAAUCCCUGGUUCACCAUGCAAUACCGAAUCAAAGGUGAUCCCACAUAGCAAAGUGAAACAAUGCUACCAUUUUGGCUCAAAGUUUUACUUUUUCAUCAUCAAACUUUGUUCUUGUGUUCCAAUGGUUAAUGGACCGUAUUUCCCAGCCACAACGAUCUGCCACACCCUAGUCGUCAUCAUUCCUUGCUUUCAGUGAACCUGGACAGGCCACUAUUUUUUCUGCAUUUCAUCUGUGCAGUGAAGCUGGUCGGUCUGCAUUUAAACUCAGGAAAAGGAAAAUCAGUGACCAAAUUAACCAUGUACGUGCCCCGACUUAAAAUAGCUGAGUAAUUGUUUGUGAUAGUGUGACUUUAAUUUGCUUGAGAUUU